RNAcentral lists this ribosomal RNA (669 nucleotides) under uncultured Rhodobacterales bacterium. RNAcentral's name for it is "bacterial SSU rRNA". It matches the Rfam family "Bacterial small subunit ribosomal RNA", at positions 26 to 741 of the family's 1533-position model. The record is from RNAcentral. Lineage: Bacteria; Pseudomonadati; Pseudomonadota; Alphaproteobacteria; Rhodobacterales.
AGAACGAACGCUGGCGGCAGGCCUAACACAUGCAAGUCGAGCGAAGUCUUCGGACUUAGCGGCGGACGGGUGAGUAACGCGUGGGAACAUACCCAAAGGUACGGAAUAGCCUCGGGAAACUGGGAGUAAUACCGUAUGUGCCCUUCGGGGGAAAGAUUUAUCGCCUUUGGAUUGGCCCGCGUUGGAUUAGGUAGUUGGUGGGGUAAUGGCCUACCAAGCCGACGAUCCAUAGCUGGUUUGAGAGGAUGAUCAGCCACACUGGGACUGAGACACGGCCCAGACUCCUACGGGAGGCAGCAGUGGGGAAUCUUAGACAAUGGGCGCAAGCCUGAUCUAGCCAUGCCGCGUGAUCGAUGAAGGCCUUAGGGUUGUAAAGAUCUUUCAGCUGGGAAGAUAAUGACGGUACCAGCAGAAGAAGCCCCGGCUAACUCCGUGCCAGCAGCCGCGGUAAUACGGAGGGGGCUAGCGUUGUUCGGAAUUACUGGGCGUAAAGCGCACGUAGGCGGAUCGGAAAGUCAGAGGUGAAAUCCCAGGGCUCAACCUUGGAACUGCCUUUGAAACUCCCGGUCUUGAGUUCGAGAGAGGUGAGUGGAAUUCCGAGUGUAGAGGUGAAAUUCGUAGAUAUUCGGAGGAACACCAGUGGCGAAGGCGGCUCACUGGCUCGAUACU